UUGUUUUCCUCUGAAUUUCCU
RNAcentral lists this non-coding RNA (21 nucleotides) under Caenorhabditis elegans. The record is from RNAcentral. Lineage: Eukaryota; Metazoa; Nematoda; Chromadorea; Rhabditida; Rhabditidae.